CAGUCGCCGCGGGAAUACGAAGGGUGCAAGCGUUAAUCGGAAUUACUGGGCGUAAAGCGUGCGCAGGCGGUUUGUUAAGUCUGUUGUGAAAUCCCCGGGCUCAACCUGGGAAUGGCAAUGGAUACUGGCAAGCUAGAGUGUGUCAGAGGAUGGUGGAAUUCCCGGUGUAGCGGUGAAAUGCGUAGAGAUCGGGAGGAACAUCAGUGGCGAAGGCGGCCAUCUGGGACAACACUGACGCUGAGGCACGAAAGCGUGGGGAGCAAACCGGAUUAGAUACCCCCGUAGUCCCUGUCUCUUAUAC
Molecule: ribosomal RNA, 301 nt
Filed under: uncultured bacterium
Lineage: Bacteria
Description: partial 16S ribosomal RNA
Rfam family: Bacterial small subunit ribosomal RNA
Source: RNAcentral